GAUGAACGCUGGCGGCGUGCUUAACACAUGCAAGUCGAACGACCCUCGGGGUUAGUGGCGGACGGGUGAGUAACGCGUGAGAAUCUGCCCUCAGGAGGGGGACAACAGUUGGAAACGACUGCUAAUACCCCAUAUGCCGCGAGGUGAAAUGAAUUUCGCCUGAGGAUGAGCUCGCGUCUGAUUAGCUAGUUGGUGUAGGUAAUGGCUCACCAAGGCAUCGAUCAGUAGCUGGUCUGAGAGGAUGAUCAGCCACACUGGGACUGAGACACGGCCCAGACUCCUACGGGAGGCAGCAGUGGGGAAUUUUCCGCAAUGGGCGAAAGCCUGACGGAGCAACGCCGCGUGAGGGAUGAAGGCCUCUGGGCUGUAAACCUCUUUUAUCAAGGAAGAAGAUCUGACGGUACUUGAUGAAUAAGCCACGGCUAAUUCCGUG
This 433-nucleotide ribosomal RNA is filed under the name uncultured bacterium. Its description in RNAcentral is "bacterial SSU rRNA". It matches the Rfam family "Bacterial small subunit ribosomal RNA", at positions 28 to 507 of the family's 1533-position model. The record is from RNAcentral.